UGGCUUCUCAUUCUCUAAAGCAGGGG
Molecule: non-coding RNA, 26 nt
Filed under: Homo sapiens (human)
Lineage: Eukaryota; Metazoa; Chordata; Mammalia; Primates; Hominidae
Source: RNAcentral